UCCAAGGCCAAGGUCCCGACA
Molecule: non-coding RNA, 21 nt
Filed under: Rattus norvegicus (Norway rat)
Lineage: Eukaryota; Metazoa; Chordata; Mammalia; Rodentia; Muridae
Source: RNAcentral